UUUGUCUCAAAAAAAUACCAAAAACCAAAAACAACAAAAACAAAAAACAUCAAAAGACUAUGAGAAACAGUGAUUGGAUGUUUGGGGUGUGGAUAUCGGAAUCUGGAGCUGGGGACAGGUGUGUCAUUUGAUAGUCCCUUUUGAGAACCACUGUUGAUCUAAAGCUAUUCCAGUUCCCUAGGGGAUUGCUAAUAACCGGUGCAGCUGCUGAGACAGGGAAAGGGGCCUAAUUCCUUUUGCAAAACAAGGAGCAAUAUUUAUAUGAGAACUCAGUACAUUUCAUCACAUAAAAAUUGCAAAACGCCAGGCUCUGUCAUUUUUAAACUAAUAUUUUUGGGAGUCCACCAAACAGUCUCUAAGAUGGAACUGAUUGUGAAUAUGCUGGUGCCAGGUGCAAUGGCUCACACCUGUAAUCCCAGCUACUUGGGAGGCUGAGGUGGGAGGAUCACCUGAAGCCAGGAGUUCGAGGCCAGCCUGGGCCUCUCUAAAAAAAAAAAAGCUGUAAGUCAAAUGAUAUAGCCUCUAGAAGCCACAGUUUGCUCAUUUACAAACUGGAGGAGAAUAAGAUGAGAAUUGUCUGAUAUUGAGGAUCAGAAAGUGCUUCAUGAUGCAUAAAGCAGGUAAUGGAUUAUCAAUGCUUUGCUGCUCAGACACACAGCAAUGGGUUCAUACCAUUCUGAGAGUCUAAAUUUAGGACGUGGUGUGACCAAAAUUACCAGUAAUUAAGUUUCUUAUGUUUCUGAGGCUCUGCUUCCUCAUCUGUACACUGUGGCAAGACCUUGUUCUGACUAUGCACUGAGGAUAAAAUAAGGCCUUUUGAAAAAGAUGAUGACACUGACCACUAAUUAAUGAUUUCAAUGUUCCCGUCCAAGGUCAGGCAAAAGCAAUGCAGAGCCAUAGAGAAUGUUGGUGCAACACUGCCCUCUGCUGGUCAGUAGCAGCACCACCAUGGUUACAGAGAGGAAAAGGUCUUUACAAAGGGAUUCCUGGGAAACUGAGGCAGAGAGUGGAAGGGAUUUGCUCAAGGGCACAGAGUUAGCUUUGGACAAAGUGAUGGCUCGAAUCUGAGAUUCCUAAUUCCUAGUUCUUUCUAGAGGGAGAAAAAUAAGGGCUGGAAACUAGUGGAUUGUCGUUUCACUCUCACUAGGCUCUGCACGGCAUUUUAAAUAGGCUGAUUGGAAUUUCUCUCUCCUGUUCUUCCCUUGCCACCCAAACUGCUCGGGUUUCUUGUCCUUUUCUUCAUACCAGGAUAACCAUCUGUGUGGCCCCAUAAGGCCCAAAGUCCUCUUGGGUGCUGCCGGAGGUCCAACAACCAGUAAAGCACGGAAGCUGGGAUCUGAACACUCACUUGAGACCCCAAGGCCCACAAUCUAUUUGCCACCAAAAAACAAGACAAAGCAAAACACCAUGACAGGAAAACCGAGUUGCAGACAAAUGAAAGUGACUUACCUCAGGGCCUUUGCAUGUGACAUCCUCUCUGCCUGGAAUGCUCUUCUCAGAUAUCACCUUGGCAUCCCCCAUCACCUUCUUAAGGUCUUCACUUAAAAGUCAUCAUCUGGCCGGGCGCGGUGGCUCACCCUGUAAUCUCAGCACUUUGGGUAGGCCAAGGACUGGAUCCUGGACCUGCCCCUGGGACUUGCGGAAGGGGACAGCUCAAUCUGAGCCAUAUCAACUGAGAACACAGGAAGCAUGGUCCUACCAAGAGAUGUCUAUUCCAGGUAUGGUGGAGCCUCAGAGGACAGCAUGACUCUCGUUCAGCUGGUGGAUCAGGGAAUGGUCCAAUAAGCCACAGCUGUGGAUAUGAAGAUCUUGUGAAAUCAGUGACCUCUGGGUCAUGUAGAAACCCAGCACAUUCCCACAGGACACAGCCUAGCAGUUGAUCAGAGCAGUAGUUCAUACCUGAGACCCUGGAUUUUCAGACCCUCCCCCAGGCCCCACCAGCCUCUGUCAGUGCCAAGCUGGACGGAACAAACCACAUGAGGUGGGCAGAACCAAGGUGCCCUCCCUACACCUUCCUGGGGCCUCCAGCGAUCCUGAGCUCAGCCUCCUGACCUGCAGACCCCUCAGCUCUGGCCCUCACGUCCUGCUUGCUGUACCUGCUUUAUCCCAUAUCACCAUCUCCAUUCCUCAGCAUAGUGACAAUCCCAGUUCCUACCCAUUCCACUGGCUUCUCCAUUUGGCUUGGAGCUCUUUAGCUGGAUUGAGACGACUACUCUGAUGAGUGCCAUGUCACUGGCUCAACAAAAUGGGCCCAAGUGAGUCAAUGUCAUUGACAUGAAGGUGCUGUCAGUUUGGUGGGAACCAAGGGAAUGAGACUGUGUUUUAGCUGCGUUCGUUUGAACAGUUACACACUUAGGGCUUCUUAUGCGGAUGCUCAGAGAGAAAUAUGGAAGACGAGAUCUCGUAGAAAACAAGAAGACAUGUUGUAAAUGAGUCAGGCCUCCUGGAGUCCAGGACUAGGGAGGAACUCUUUAUUGAGGAUCACUCGAGGGAGUCUUGGGGCUGGUGGUCUUCACGCCACAGCCCCAUAACUCAGCUCCUCUCUUCCUUCUCUCAGUCUCUCUGCUUCUGUUUUUUGUCUCAUGUCCUAAAUGUCCAACUAUUCAGCAUAACUUUAUUCUGCUUCCCCUCUCUAUCCUCUGUAGCAAAAUGCACUGUUGGAAUUACAUUUUUAUUUUUAUUUUUAUUUU
Molecule: long non-coding RNA, 2690 nt
Filed under: Homo sapiens (human)
Lineage: Eukaryota; Metazoa; Chordata; Mammalia; Primates; Hominidae
Description: HSALNT0371008
Source: RNAcentral